CCUACGGGUGGCUGCAGUAGGGAAUAUUGGGCAAUGGGCGGAAGCCUGACCCAGCCAUGCCGCGUGAAGGAUGAAGGCCUUCGGGUUGUAAACUGCUUUUGUACGGAACGAAAAGACUCUGGUUAAUACCUGGGGUCCAUGACGGUACCGUAAGAAUAAGCACCGGCUAACUACGUGCCAGCAGCCGCGGUAAUACGUAGGGUGCGAGCGUUAAUCGGAAUUACUGGGCGUAAAGCGUGCGCAGGCGGUGAUGUAAGACAGAUGUGAAAUCCCCGGGCUCAACCUGGGAACUGCAUUUGUGACUGCAUCGCUGGAGUACGGCAGAGGGGGAUGGAAUUCCGCGUGUAGCAGUGAAAUGCGUAGAUAUGCGGAGGAACACCGAUGGCGAAGGCAAUCCCCUGGGCCUGUACUGACGCUCAUGCACGAAAGCGUGGGGAGCAAACAGGAUUAGAUACCCUUGU
Molecule: ribosomal RNA, 461 nt
Filed under: uncultured bacterium
Lineage: Bacteria
Description: bacterial SSU rRNA
Rfam family: Bacterial small subunit ribosomal RNA
Source: RNAcentral